Molecule: ribosomal RNA, 241 nt
Filed under: uncultured bacterium
Lineage: Bacteria
Description: partial 16S ribosomal RNA
Rfam family: Bacterial small subunit ribosomal RNA
Source: RNAcentral
CCAGCCUACGGGACGCAGCAGUGGGGAAUAUUGCACAAUGGGGGAAACCCUGAUGCAGCAACGCCGCGCGAGUGAAGAAGGUUUUCGGAUUGUAAAGCUCUGUUAGCAGGGAAGAGGAAGGACGGUACCUGCAGAGGAAGCCACGGCUAACUACGUGCCAGCAGCCGCGGUAAUACGUAGGUGGCAAGCGUUGUUCGGAAUAGCUGGGCGUAAAGGAUGCGUAGGCGGUUAAACAAGUUAU